RNAcentral lists this ribosomal RNA (774 nucleotides) under uncultured bacterium. Its description in RNAcentral is "bacterial SSU rRNA". It matches the Rfam family "Bacterial small subunit ribosomal RNA", at positions 67 to 833 of the family's 1533-position model. The record is from RNAcentral.
GCAUCGCGAUAGCUUGCUAUUGCGGAUGGCGACCGGCGCACGGGUGAGUAACGCGUAUCCAACCUUCCCGCAACUGGGGAAUAACCUUGCGAAAGUAAGACUAAUACCCCAUGGUCUCCACGGAUGGCAUCUGAAGUGGAGUAAAGGUUUCGGCCGGUUGCGGAUGGGGAUGCGUCCGAUUAGCUUGACGGCGGGGUAACGGCCCACCGUGGCAUCGAUCGGUAGGGGUUCUGAGAGGAAGGUCCCCCACAUUGGAACUGAGACACGGUCCAAACUCCUACGGGAGGCAGCAGUGAGGAAUAUUGGUCAAUGGGCGGAAGCCUGAACCAGCCAAGUAGCGUGAAGGACGACUGCCCUAUGGGUUGUAAACUUCUUUUAUGCGGGGAUAAAGUUCGCCACGUGUGGCGUUUUGCAGGUACCGCAUGAAUAAGGACCGGCUAAUUCCGUGCCAGCAGCCGCGGUAAUACGGAAGGUCCAGGCGUUAUCCGGAUUCAUUGGGUUUAAAGGGAGCGUAGGCCGCCUUUUAAGCGUGUUGUGAAAUGUAGGGGCUCAACCCCUGCACUGCAGCGCGAACUGGAGGGCUUGAGUACACACAAAGUAGGCGAAAUUCAUGGUGUAGCGGUGAAAUGCUUAGAUAUCAUGAAGAACCCCGAUUGCGAAGGCAGCUUACUGGAGUGUAACUGACGCUGAAGCUCGAAAGCGCGGGUAUCGAACAGGAUUAGAUACCCUGGUAGUCCGCGCGGUAAACGAUGGGUGCCCGCUGUUUGCCAAUUU